GCGAAUCGCCCUUCGGGGUGCGCAGGCGCGAAAACUUUACAAUGCGGGAAACCGUGAUAAGGGGACACCGAGUGCCAGCAUCAUAUGCUGGCUGUCCGGGUGUGUAAAAUACACCCGUUAGCAAGGGCCGGGCAAGACCGGUGCCAGCCGCCGCGGUAACACCGGCGGCCCGAGUGGUGAUCGUGAUUAUUGGGUCUAAAGGGUCCGUAGCCGGUUUGGUCAGUCCUCCGGGAAAUCUGAUAGCUCAACUAUUAGGCUUUCGGGGGAUACUGCCAGGCUUGGAACCGGGAGAGGUAAGAGGUACUACAGGGGUAGGAGUGAAAUCUUGUAAUCCCUGUGGGACCACCUGUGGCGAAGGCGUCUUACCAGAACGGGUUCGACGGUGAGGGACGAAAGCUGGGGGCACGAACCGGAUUAGAUACCCGGGUAGUCCCAGCCGUAAACGAUGCUCGCUAGGUGUCAGGCAUGGCGCGACCGUGUCUGGUGCCGCAGGGAAGCCGUGAAGCGAGCCACCUGGGAAGUACGGCCGCAAGGCUGAAACUUAAAGGAAUUGGCGGGGGAGCAC
Molecule: ribosomal RNA, 565 nt
Filed under: uncultured archaeon
Lineage: Archaea
Description: bacterial SSU rRNA
Rfam family: Archaeal small subunit ribosomal RNA
Source: RNAcentral